CAUUAGGUGGCUGAAAGUAAGUAUUGGUCUCUUUAACCAUUUUAUAAUAAUUUAACAUUUAUUUCUAAUGA
RNAcentral lists this transfer RNA (71 nucleotides) under Eumeta variegata. RNAcentral's name for it is "Clania variegata tRNA-Lys". The record is from RNAcentral. Lineage: Eukaryota; Metazoa; Arthropoda; Insecta; Lepidoptera; Psychidae.